Ailuropoda melanoleuca (giant panda) is the source of this 3923-nucleotide long non-coding RNA. The record is from Ensembl. Lineage: Eukaryota; Metazoa; Chordata; Mammalia; Carnivora; Ursidae.
GGUUAGGGUUAGGGUCUUGGGUUGGGGUCAGGGCCAGGCUUGAGAUAAAGUUCAGGUCAGAGUAUGGGUCUGCGUCAGGCGCAGUGUCACGUUCAGUGCCACUGUUUGGGUCAGGAACUGUUGUCAUUCCAUAUCGUUUCCCAUUAAGUGUUCUUUAGCUAUUUUUGGAGAAGUUGGGGGAUAUUGGGCUCCAUUCAGCUUGAAUUUUCAGAAUUUAACGGACUCAGCUGGACCCAGGGAGGGAGCAGGUGCUUCCAUGAACGGUGAGCUCACCUAGUCCUGCACUGCCUCCACCGCCUGCAGAGGGCGCAGGACCCCAGCUCCCACCCGCAGCCGGGCAUGCGCAGACGCUGUGAUGGGAGCCUGGUCUCCUCAGGACCCGCUGUGGAGGCUUCGGGGGAAUGUGAGGGCAGCGUCCACGCUGACAGGAGCUCGGCCUCCUCAGGACCCGCCGGGGGAGGACAAGUUUGGCCCCUUCUGCAAGAGGUGGCAUUCUGCAUAUGCACAAUUGCACUUUUUACCCCAGGACAGUGGAUUCUCACUGGUGUCAAAGGUUCACCAUCAGACUCUGGUUGACUGGUCGGUUGACACCUGGAAAAGCUGAAACCUGAGAACCUCUUGUUUUCACCUUUCUGUUUCUGUGUAUGCAUCCUUUCUACAUAUACCACUAAAUCCGCACUUACUCUAUGUGGUGACCACUGUAGGGAUACAGAUUGCCAAAUGUAUUCCAUUCUGGAAAGAAUUUUCACUUGGGAAAGGCUCUCAAGAAAGUUUGAGUCUAGACUAUAAAUUGAUGAGGUGGUCGUAUUUUUUACUCUUGGAAUUUCUCAGUGUUUUUAAAUUUGGCUGUUUCUGUGCAUUUUACUGUCUCCCGUGUGACCUAAUCAGUGCUGGAGACUCUGGGCCAAGCAGGACACUGUCAGUUGUCCAAGAGCGGAGUUGCUGAAGGAGUCCCGCCUGCUUCAUUGGAAGAUACCACUGGAAGAGGGCUGGAAAAUGGUUCUGUCUGCAGUUUGGAACUUGUCAUUUCCGAGACAAACAGGGCUUCCCUCUGAAGUUAAAUGACAUUGUUUGGCACACAUAAUGUGAACUCUUGGGAGAGUUUAGACAACCUGGUGAGGUCUGAUUUGACUUGAAACCUGGAACAUGGCUUUGUUGUUAUAUUUGGCUUGUGGUUUGAUUUAAGGGUCAGCAUUACUGACUGCUCUCCCCAGUGCACUUCCAGCGCUCUGAGGCCUGGAAGGAGAGGAAUUUGCCCUGAUGGUCUGGGGAAAGAACCACAGACCCAAACUGAACAGGGACAGGACCAUGUCAUGGCUCGUCAGUUGUCUGGUUACACUCAUUUGAAUAGCACACCCCACAGGGAUUCAAGGUUAGAACACCACAUGUAGGGGCGUCUUGGUGGCUCAGUUGGCGAAGCAUCUGCCUUCAGCUCAGGUCAUGAUCUCAGGGUCCUGGGAUCGAGUCCUGCAUGGGGCUUUCUGCUCAGCAGGGAGUCUGCUUCUCCCUCUGCCCCUCCCCGUUCAUUCUCUCUCUUUCCCUCUCUCUCUCUUGCUUUUUCUCUUAAAUAAAGAAAACCUUAAACACACACAUACCACAUAUAGUGAGCAUUUGCUUAAGACCUAAUGUAAGUUUGUCCAAACAAACCCGAGCCCUUUAACUUUGCCAGGAAACAGAUAAUAAAAAUGUUUCUCAGGGUUAUAGUUUGUGCCCCAUUGUCAUUGUCAAAUGCAGUGAACUGGCUGGGGCUCCUCAGGCACCCAGUAAGCCUGCAGCUGGGAAGGCAGGCCAUCCCUCAGCGGGCACCACAGUGGGAUUGGAGAGAGGAAUAAACAUGCACAAUUCCUACAACAGGAAAGGUCCUCACGGGAUCUGCUGGUCCGGAAGUACAAGUGGUCAAAAUUCUCACGUACUGUGCUCCAUACCCUGAAGUAGGGAUGUGGAGAGGAGACCUGGCAGAGAAGACACGUAACAAAAUCCUUGAAGUACAGCAUGCUGAGUGUCGGGCCCGCUAUUCUGAAAUGAAACAGAAUAGUGUCCCUGCUCUGACAAAGCUGAAUUUUAGCGUGGGAACACUUCAGAAAGGACACAUAAAUAUGCCAUAAAGUGAUAUGUUCUGUGCAUAAAAAAAUACACGGUGCAGGUAGGCAUGUGAGGUGCAGGACGCUGGUGGACAGUGGGGACUGAACUGAAUCUCAGGUCCACAGCUAAGUGACUGUGACCUUGUGCAAGUUUCUCCACCUCUCGGCACAUCCUCGGUAAAGCAGACUCUGAUAGUACCUGCCUCAUCAGCUGUUGUGCGAGUUAUGUGACUUCAGUGUGUAAAGCACUCGCAACAUAGAACAAAUACUCAAUAGUAAGUGUGCCUGAUGUAGUGAGUCCCAAGUACUAGCUGUUAACUGCAAGUGGAGUGUGAGAAAAAGGGACUCACCCAGGACUUGAAGGUUUGCAGCCUUUGGACCACAACUGUAAAUGCCAUGUCGUUAGGAAGCACCGAGGAGUGUGUCCGCCGUGCAGGGGUGCACACAUCUGGAAGGCUGUCAGACAGGUGCGCCUUGAAUUGAGGUCUUAGAGGCCUCUGCUAACCGAUCAGCAGCAUGGGAUUCCCCAAGAAUACUUACCUCCUCCUGAAGUUUCUCAAGCCAAUGAGCAGGAAGGUACAGCACUGCCAUCCCACUGCUGUAUCCUUUCCCUGGGGAGCACAUGCCAUCCGCAGCCCCAAUCCCCCCAGCUCCCCUCCUCACCAUCCCUCCCCAACCAGAGUCCUGAGCUCCUUGUAACAGGCCACCUCCAGACGGGCUGAGGGGUGCCUGCUGUGGCCUGUGUUAGGAUGCAGUGCCCCCCACCCCUGGCUCUGCCACCCUCUAGGCUCCCUGUGUCUUCUUGCCAGCCCUUCAUGGGGUCCCCCCUUCCCUUCUGGAUCAACCCAACUUUUCUGUGAGAUGCAUAAUGGAAUGAUACAGGUUUAUGCAUCACUGUUCUUAUGAACCCCUUCCCCAGUAUUUCCUGGGACCAUGACCCGAAACACAGGUAAGAACAGACUCCCAGCUUUCCAGUUUGCAUUAGCCAUUUGCCAUUUUCCUGCUUUCCGCUCCCACAGCAGCUUCGGUGAGCCUUGUGCAGGGCCUGCCCCCCCUUCCACAGUGCCUUACAGUUCAGAAUUCCCAGUGCACUUAGUUUAGCUCCAGGCCUGAGAGUCACUGCUUGGUUACUCCUGUGAGGUAACUAGUGGGUGGGUACGUGCAGUCCAUGUCCAGAGUGACAGCCCUGCUGUCUGCUGACCACUCAGAGGCCCUGGGUUGCUGGCACAUCUUGUCUUCACAGAGUCUGUUCAGGUGGACACAUGGAUCCCGUUCUCUGUUUGUCACUCCUGCUUGUUGCCACCUUGCUUCCUUGACCCUUCUGCCCACGGCUCUUCCUUCAGCGCCAACCCCCUCUCCUUGAAUCCUAGGAAAUGUGAGCUCCUUCACAAUGUCUUAACAAAGUCACCCUCCUCCACCCAAAGUGGGGGGCAACGGGAAGCUGAGGGGCCAAGAAAAUCUUCUGUAACAAAUCUUUUUAAUAUAGUGAAUGAACAUGAAGAGGAAAAGGGAGCCUCAGUGAGACCUGUAGAAUGGAGGUGCUGUCACUCCAGAUUUGCUUGUUUUUUUAAUAAAGAUUUAUUUAUUUAGAGAGAGAGUGUGUGUGUGGGAGGGUAGGGGCAGAGGGAGAGGGAGAGAGAGAUCUCCAGCAGACUCCAUGCUGAGUGUGGAGCCCGAUGUGGGGCUCGAUCUCAUGACGCUGAGAUCGUGACCUGAGCCAAAACCAAGAGUUAGACACUUAACCGACUGAGCCACCCAGGCGCCCCCCCCCUUUUUUUAAUAAUCCAGAUUUGCUUGAAAAGAAGUCACAGGUACUUAAAAGACCCCCUGUGAGAAGGGAGG